UGGCCAGUGGUAUCAAGUUGAUAGCCAUGAUGAUGCAAGCAUGAAUGCACAGGAGAGCUAUAUAGACUCAGCGAGUAACUGGCAAAGCAGCGUUGCCUCUACUGAUAACUCCAAUGUUGCUUACCUGAGUCAGAGUACAACAUCUGCAGUGGCUGAGAGUAUCUCUACUUGGAACCAGGUUUCACAGGUGGCAAAUGGAUAUCCAGAACACAUGGUCUUUGACCCACAGUAUCCGGGGUGGUACUAUGACACAAUUGCUCAAGAAUGGCGCUCUCUGGACAGCUACAACCAGGCUUCUCAAACAACUGGAACUGGUCAAGCUCAUGAACAGCAAGUUCAGAACGUCCAUUCUCUUGGAUCUAUGUCUCACAACUAUGCCGAGAGUAAUAUUUAUAAUGUUAAUGGUAAAAACCAGGCAUUCAAAGCGCAAGACUUUGCUAUACAGAACCAACAGGGAAGUUGGGACCAGUCUUACUAUGCCAACAACAAGCAGCAGGCUACAAACACAUGGCAAUCAGAAAAUGGAGGUAAUAAUGAGGCGUCUGUAACUUCUGUCUCGUUUUCACAGUUCGGAGGAAACCAGCAAGUAAAUAGUUUGUACAUUACGGAAUCUGUGGCUGAACAGUUUAAGCCAAAUGAGAAUGGAGCUCAAGGCUUCAUCCCUCAGCAUAUGAAUGUGGCUAGUGUCACGCAGCAUGGACCACUGAGUUUCUCAAACAAUUUCUAUAAUAGACAGAAAUCUUUAGAUGAUACUCAACAGUCAUAUCAGAGCAAUCAGCUUUUCUCCCCAAGUGUAGGAAGAUCACCUGAUGGGCGUCCACCACAUGCACUUGUGAGUUUUGGCUUUGGUGGGAAGCUCAUUCUUAUGAAGGAUACUAACGGCUCUCUCCAGAAUUCAUCAUUCGGAAGUCAGGUUAGUCAUGAAGUUUCCAUUAGUUUUUUACACCCUCGGAAGUUUCUGCAAACUAUUGUAGGAGUAUCACUAUUUUAUAUAUGAAAUGUAUUAUUAUAACCUCAAUAGUGAACUUUAGUUCUUGCUUUCUAAUCUUUUUCUGUUUGAUUCAAAGGGGGCUGGGGGAAGCACUAUAUCUGUCCUAAACUUGGCGGAAGUUACUUCUGGGAGUGCUUCUUUUUCAAGUCUUGGGGAAGACUCUUCGAGUUAUUUUCGUUCUCUGCAUCAACGAUGUCUUCCAGGUCCCUUGGUUGGAGGAAGUGUUGGAAAUAAAGACUUAAAUAAGUGGCUUGAUGAGAGUAUUUUACAUUGUGAAUCUUCUGACAUGGACUUUUCAAGAGGGAAGCUUUUAAAAAUGCUUAUGUCUUUGCUCAGAAUAUCAUGUCAGUAUUAUGGGAAACUCCGGUCUCCUUUCGGGGCUGAUACAACGCAAAAGGUGAGCAGUUAUGGAAAUCUCUUGUCAGUACGCCUCUUAAGGAAACAUCUAUAUGUGUUACAGUUUUCUCAUCCUUGUAUCUAUGCUGCAAACAGGAAACAGAUUCUGCUGAAGCAGCAGUCGCAAAACUUUUUGCAUUUGCCAAGAAAAAUGGUGGCUAUGCUCCAUUAAGCCAAUGCUUGCAGCAUUUACCUCCUGAAUCACAAAUGCAAGUGAGUAUUCAACAUCUUAGGAUAUUUCUCUUUCAGAGGGAAAGGGUUCUAAAAUAUAGUCGGUUGUUUUUUUUUGCUUAUUGACUCAUUUGGAAAAAUAUCCUAGGCAAGUGCUUCAGAGGUGCAGAAUCUUCUGGCUUUUGGUAGGAAAAUGGAGGCUCUGCAAUGUGCACAAGAAGGCCAUUUAUGGGGACUAGCGCUUGUUAUCGCGGCACAGCUUGGAGAUCAGGUUCCUUUCCCUUGGAUACUCUAAAUCUAGACCUUCCGUUGUUGUGGUUGUAUGACUGACUUGGUUGUUCCUUGUCGUAAAUUGUUGCAGUUCUAUGCUGAUACUGUGAAACAAAUGGCCCUUUGCCAGCUGGUGCCUGGAUCACCUUUGCGAACAUUGUGCUUGCUCGUUGCGGGGCAACCAGCUGAAGUGUUCUCCAAUGGCAGUACAAGCUGUGUCGAUUUUUCUGGUUCCGUAAGUGCGUCUCCGCACCAAACCCAGGUAAUACGGUAACAAUCUAUUUCUUAUCAGUCCAGACAAUGUGUUAGAUUGAAGAGUAAGAACAAGUUUAGAGAUGCGAUACCAGAAUUUUAGAAGUUCAAUGAAAACCAAUCCUUUUGUUCCUGGGGAAAAUCCGAGAUAGCAUACCGCCUACUGCUGUCCAAGAGCUUACUAAAUACUCAAACCCCAAAAUAAAAAAAAAAAGAUGAACAGAAUCGUAACCCCCUUAGUUCUCUCGUGAUGAAGAUACAUAAUCAAUCCAUAUAUCCUCACCAAAUCAUUGCUAAAUAACAUUUACCAUGAUUAAAAGUCUGGAACUCCAUAGAUGGUGGGAAUUCUCUCUAGUACGAGAUAUUUUCUCUACCACAGGGAACUAGUUUACUUCUCCAUUUCAAAGGACGCAGUUUUGUCUUGCAUUGGGAGUUCGCUAAUAGUAUCUUUGUUUCUUUGAAUUGCAGUUUGGAAGUAGUAGCAUGCUUGAUAACUGGGAAGAGAAUUUGGGUAUAAUAACUGCUAACAGAACCACAGAUGAUGAGCUUGUGAUUACUCAUCUUGGAGAUUGCAUGUGGAAAGAAAGGAGCGAGGUGAUCUAUCUCUGCCAUUUUGUUUUGUUUUGUUUUGUUUAACUUCAUGGAAGACUUUAUAAUGACAUUUUAAUUGCUAUUAUGGAUCAGAUAAUUGCAGCGCAUAUUUGCUAUUUACUUGCGGAUAAGAACUUUAACCCAUACUCAGAUAGUGCCAGGCUCUGCCUUGUCGGAGCAGAUCAUUGGAAAUAUCCUAGAACUUAUGCAAGUCCGGAGGCUAUACAGGUUUUUUUUUGCUUUGGUUUUAGUUAGCUUGGAUGUUCUGUUUUUAAUAUCGUAAGCAGCCUAAUAGUUCCUCAAUUUAUUUUGAUUUUUUCCUUUUUUUUUGUUGAUCUUUACAUUGGCAGAGAACAGAGUUAUACGAAUACUCUAAGACGCUGGGAAACUCUCAGUAUAUCUUGUUACCGUUUCAGCCAUAUAAAAUCAUAUAUGCCCACAUGCUGGCUGAAGUUGGUAAACUUUCGGCCGCACAGAAGUAAGAAGGUUCACUUGCCACCAAAUUUUCCAUAAUUAGACUGUAUCUAGCUUCCUGAUGUUGCUGUUCUGUCGCUGAAUCAGGUACUGUCAAGCAGUAUCGAAGUGUCUCAAGACUGGCCGAUCAACUGAAGUGGAAACAUGGAAACAGUUUGUCUCAUCACUGGAAGAGAGAAUCCGUAUCCACCAACAGGUACAAGCCCACAACAACUUCUGUUCCAGUAGAAUUACAUGGAACCGUUGAUUUUUUGUCAGUGGAUUUACAUCUGUUUGCUGAAAAUGUGAAAAAGAGAGACCCAGCCUUAUGGACAUCCAUAUAAAUGGAAAUAAUUAGGAUAUAAGAGACCCAUCUUGUUCUCUAAUGAUCCAACAUAACCAGAUAUUCCUAUUUCAGGGAGGGUAUACUGUGAAUUCUUCCCCAGCAAAAAUUGUCGGAAAAUUUCUUAACUUUAUUGAUAGUACAGCACAUCGUGUUGUUGGGGGCAUGCCACCAUCUGCACUUCAUUCAACAACAGGAAACUUACAGGCAAAUGAGUAUCAGCAUCAUCAACAGCAGGAGGCUGCUAAGUUACCAUAUAGUCAAUCUGCUAAUACAAUGCAAUCAUUGAUGUCACAUGCCUCAAUGGAACCAAUACGUGAGUUGGAUGGGAACUCAAGGACGAUGGCAGUACAUUCUAGAAGUGUCUCAGAGCCAGAUUUCGGUAGGACGCCAAUACAGGUCAAUAUCACUAGAUAUCAUUUAUUUUUAUUUGCUUUUCUGUUAUUGCCUGAUGUCUGGUUUGGGAUUUAUCCUGAGGGUAAGUUGGUACUUAGCAUGCAGGUUUAGAAAACGAUUGCUUACUUGCCUUUUUUCUGAUAGGAUCAGCCUGUCUCCUCAAAAGACAAAGCUACUGAUGGGGUGCCACAGGUGAAACCAACCGUGAAUGUGACAAGUUCGCGGUUUAGCAGCUUUGGUUUUGGCAUACUAAAGAACACCGUACGGAGGGUCUUACCAUCUCGGCCAUCUAAAGAGGUGCACCUUAAUAAAUGUUUUAAGUCGUGAUGAUGGUUUUCUUGAACUUAUUCUAAUGUUGGGUCAUGCUUUUGAAUGAAGGCAAAACUGGGUGAGGAGAAUCAAUUUUACUAUGACGAAAAACUAAAGAGAUGGAUGGAGAAAGGUGUAGAACCCCCAGCUGAGGAAGCUGCAUUGCCUCCUCCUCCAACAGUAGGCACGUACCAAAACAACUCACUGGGGUAUGAAAACAGAUCUGACAUGAUGAACGAGAUGUCUCCACCUAGUGGGAGCUGGAGCAGUGGCAGCCCGACUCCAUCCGAGAAUUCUGCGGGAAUCCCACCAGUCUCACAGGGCUCGAAUCAAUUCUCAGCUCGUGGACGCCCAAGGUAAACAAACCACUUGUGACGCUUUCGAAUUAUUCUUAUGUGCAGGCUUUCCUGGAUCAUAAAUCAUGAGCGUAGUUGUAGUGUCUCAUUAGAAUGACAUUCAAGAGUGAAUAAAUAUAAGCCAACGACGGUAUUAAAGGUGAAGCUUUGAGUGUGAAAUGGACAAACUUUUCUUGAUUGUAGUUUCCGGUUGUGUUAGCUAUAAUACUCCAUAGUUGAGUCUGAUAAAUUGUCAGAAAAGCUGCUGUAGACACUGGGGAUCAUCACAUAUUGCCUUUGUUAGAUAACGUGCAUGAUUAGAGUUGAAUCGUUUUUACUUUCUUUUGGAGCAGAUACGUUGACCUCUUUAAUCCAGGCGGUGGAAACUCUAAGACAAUGUUUCAGUCAGCUCAUGCAAAAUCUGCUAAACCACCAAUCCCUGCAAAAGCAAAUUUCUUCAUCCCAGCAGCACCUGCGUCGUCUUCAAACGACCAGGUAACCGAGAUUGCAGCUACUGAAACCAGACAGGAGUACUCAGCAGAAAAAGAAGUAGCCGCCUCUGCAGGGGCUCCACCACCAAGCCACUCUUCAUUCCAGUCCCCGACUCCAUCUCCAAUGACAAUGCAGAGAUUUCCAAGUCUAGAUAACAUCAAACGAAGUGGAUCAGGAACGAGUCUUAACGAUGAUUUUCCUUCGUCAGGUUCCAGAAGAACAGCUUCAUGGAGUGGAAGUUUGAACAGCUCGUUUACAUCUCCAACGGGUCCAUCAAACCUCAAACCAAGCCCACUCAACGGUAGCAGCAGCAGCCUUGGAGAGGAGCUUCAAGACGUGGAACUGUAAGAGCUAGAAUCUGUAGUAUCAAAAAGUUUUGCUCACUGUCAGAGGUAGUCCAGUCAAAUGUUAAUCCAUGAGUUUACCCAAUACAUAAAAUACGAUAGGGGCAAUAUGUGUGAGUUUGUAUCCAUUGUUUUUUUUUUUACAUUACAAAUCAUUAAUUUUUCUUGUUUAACAGACUUCAGUUGUUGUACAAUUAUACACAUUAAUGUUCUGUUCAUGAGUAGGGGUUUAAUCAAAUGGUUCACCAUGUGAUUGUUUUUGCUAAGUCACUUCUUCAGUGUCAUCAAGUUGAUAAUAGAGACUUUUUAUAGGCUGAAGAGCAAAUCUGUUUCUAGAAUUGUGAAAGAGUAUUGAGCUCCAGUGCCGUGGUUUCUGUUUAAUUGUGAGUACUUGAUUCAUGCAGGCACAUAAUUUUCACCGUUACCAUGUGGGAUCAUUGCAUCUUUUAUCAAGUGCGAACCUUUUUUGAGUUUUAGUAAUCCAAAUAAAAUAUUGGAAAACAAGUAUUAGGAAUAAAAAACCCUGCAAAACGUGAAAUUUGUAGGGUUUAACAUAUUAAACCAAAUGUAUUGUGUAACCUGCGUCAGAUUGACAUUGUGUGUUUUUGCUUUUGUCUUUAUAUGAAUGCCAGUGUGGGGGAAUUAGUUCAUGUUCUGUAUAUAGGAGUGGCAGCAAUACUGUAGUAAUUUGUAUGAGUAGUGAGACUAUUUGCGGUUGUUUUUAAAGGUGGGCUCUGUAAACAAUGCGUUGGUGAUUAUUUACUUUUGUGAAGCUAUUUUAGAUGAGAUUGCAUUUCUAGGUUACUUCUUUGUCUUGAUUCACAAGACGUUAUCUUAAAGACUCUUUACCAUAGAAUCAAUAAGCGGAAAACAAUCCGCCUUUCUUUCUUCGUUUCUGUUUCUGCCCUAUUAGUUCUUUCUGUUUACAGAUGGGCCUUUCAGUCCCAAGAUGAUACAUUCAUGAAGAGUAUUACUAUCAAGGGAGACAAGAGGUUGUUUUUUUUUUUUUAAAUCGAAAUUUUAUUCAUCCCGAUAACUGGGGAUUCAGUUCGAACAAAAUUUCCCAAUUCUAAGUAUUACAACCUAGCUUCGCCCACCCACUAAACCCGACACAUUCCGCUAGAUCGUUUUUAUUAUCCUUAGGAAUCGGUCGCCCUUCUCAACCAUCAACGAUGACCAUAGGAAAGUGAGGUUCUCCUCGUUGCCUCGGAUGCCGGGAGUUCCUAUGUCGUCUCCGGAGUAGCUAGCUACCGAUGAACGCCUCGAAGCUUACAAACGUCACUGUCCAUGAAGUGCUAGACGAGCAAGAGAGGAAGGUUACCCUUACCGAGAAGUUCGAGAAACCAGCUAGAGCCUCCAAUGCCGCCAGGAACCAAGCAAAAAGCGAGAUGACCUAACCGCCACACCCUGCCCAGAAUACUCCUAAACCUGCAAGGAAAGACCCAGAACACCACCGCAACAGAUCAAGCGAACUCUUACGGUUCGGGAGGCGAACUAAAACCAAAUGUUGACACGGAGACGGUCAAUGACUCUCCCGAGAACCAUCUCCACAUUUGUGAUCAAAGUCCAAGCUGUGAAACCCAUGUACCGGUGUCAACGGACAAGGAAACAAGGAGUACAAGCCAAGUGCUAAGAGGCCUCUUAACACCUGGAAGGACUAGGAUGAGUGCCUUGACAAGAAGAUCCGAGAUGACGAAGCAAGACCCGCAGCCUCCAAAGGCCAUAGACGACCUUCGAAAUCCACCGGUGAACGGAGGAUACAUCUACGAACCUCACCCACACGAGCCUGAGGAGAGCACGGCACCAAUACCACUUACGUACCAAGCUGUCAAAGACCCGCCUCUGAGUUGAAAACCACAAGAGACCACCUAACUAACGAGAACAAGAGCCGGACCUCUCCGACACCGAAAGGGGCACGAACUCUAAACCCGAGAAGAAGACUGAAACCACAGCCCUAGAGUGGCGGAGACCACCGAGAGACAAGAGCAUAGCUUCAGCCCUUCACUUCAAGCCAACGACGAAGAGGAAUUGUAGAUCUGAAAACUGAAAAUCGAUCUACUCCCAUCUCAAAAGCCGACUCCUCCAUGAACCACCUCUUCACGAACCUCACCGAAGCUCCAGACGCAGCUGAGACGUCACCGGCGAUGAGCUCUUCGCGAGCAGAGCCCCUCCACCGAUUAGAACCUCUACACCAGAACCUGCGAUUUGUCGGAAGGAAAGCGAAUGGACAUGGAGAAGCACAAAUAAAGACGAAGGAAAGAAGAACGAGCGCCUCCGGCGACGAUCGUCACGGUCACGCGCGAGUCUUCGAUCAAAAGAUCCCAUAGACCACAAUUUUUCUUGUGUCUUCUAUUCUUUGUUGUUUUUUUUUUCUUUUGUUUGGGACUCCAAACUCUUGUCUUUUAAAUUUGGUUUUCUCCUCUUACCCGAUUGGGGUCUCUCCAGUUGCUAGCCAUGUUUGGUUUCAUAACUACUUUGACAUUGUGUUUAUAAUAACCAAAGGCUCAAAACUUAUAAGAUACUAGAGUUGCAUUGCAACAUUUUUCUCAUGCAUCCAGCUAGAGUCUACACUGUGUUUUACCCUUUUUAAAACAGACGUUCCCAUGAAGCAUCAUAUAUAUUACUAGUAUAAAGAUAAAUAAUCUAAUCAACCCGAGGUUCUCUUAGUCCAAUAGUCUGAGCAAAGAGUUCAUUAAUUGUUUUAUACCAGAAAGGGAAUUAUGCAGAGAUUUUUGGCACGGAGAAAUUAGUACCGUCAAUAAUGGAUCUCAUAGGACAACUCAGGAUGAUGCAGUCAUACGUGAAUACUAAUAAGAUAUGUCGGUUGUAGUAUCGCCUAUGUUUCUCGUAGUUUGUAAUAGCAUAAUUAACAAAUAUUUUAAAAAAAAAUUAGUAAAAUUUUUCCUAAAAUAUAUAUAUAUAUAUAUAUUUUUAUUUUGGGGGCUAGAUUGAAGGUUGGGAAGGUAAAAGGAUUAAAAUAAACAUAAAGGUUAUUUGGAAAAUAGCAAAUAUAAGUGGAAUAAUAUAAAGUUCAUUAUUUGACUAUGAUACUAAAGAUUUACGGUGGGUUCAUCUGAACCUUCAAUUGAAACAUGAAAAAUAUUACUUUUACGGUGUCAAUAAAAUUACUAUCAUCUUUACUUUUGUGGAGAAAAUUUCACUACCAUGCAUUCUUUCCAUGAAAGAUAAUGCUUCUCAAAGCAUUAUCCGAUCUAUAGUUUCAGGUUAAACACCAGUCUGUCUUCUUACCUAGCAAUUUGUACGGAGUCAGAAGAGGCCACCAAGAUUAUUUCAGUUUUUUUUUGUAGGUUGUGGAUUAGAAAGAUUAAUUUUCAGUUAUCUGACGACAUUUUUCGAAGUAUUUAAACUUUAUUUUGAAUUUGCUGUCAUCUUCAUUUGAAAAAUUAUUUUGCUUAGUUUUUAUAGAUGUUUUAGUUUAUUUUGCUUAUCAAAGAGGAUGUAAAAUUCCCUUUUCCCUUUGUAGUCACGAAGGUUAAAUUUUUAAUGGAAAAAAAAUUCAAGUUCAUUAAUCGGGAUCCCAUUAAUCGUGUCUCUCUAGGACAUAAAAUCUUGUGGAUACUCUCAUUCAAUACAUAUAUAAAAGGUUAAAUUUGGAAAAGAAAAAAAACAAAAUAAUCUCUCUCUCUCUCUCUUUCUCUCGAUCUCAAAGAUUUCACCGACUAAUCGGAGUCUGGAUCCGGAGAUCCACCGAGUAACACUUGUUGAAACUGGAUCUGUAGAUGGCACUCUCCUGCAUUUGAUCUUCAUCUUCUACGACUCUACCUCGUUCUGCAACCGAUCGAUCCUCUCACGAAAGCUUGCAGAUCCGUCGAUCAGUUUAGGUUUUAGGGGAUUUUGAUCUCAAUUUCAAAAUUCGAUGGCUUCAAACCCUCAGUCUCUGCUGGACGAUCAAUCGGACGACGAGGAUUUCUUCGACAAGCUUGUUGACGACUCCUAUUCUCCCAGCCAAGCUCACGCUGCCAACGAGCUCGAAUUCGUCAACGACGGGAGUGACUCCGAUGACGCCGCCAAAGCGUUUGCGAAUCUCUCUCUGGGUGAUGGAGAUGUGCAGUUGAAUGAAUCAGCAAACCCGGGGAACGAUGUUGUUGCAAACGAGGGUCCAAGUAGUUCGAUGCGGAAGGAAGAGGCUUCAUCGCUUCCUAUGGAAGAAGCUGUUCACAGUGAUGCAAAUAAGUUAAGUGGUGAUUUGGUGGUGAGAUCGGAUGCGGAGGAUAAGCCGUUUUCUGAAACAGUUAAAGAUGGAUCUGGGAGCCCUGGGGUUAAGGAGGUUGAUUGGGGCUCCUUUUGUGCAGAUUCAUCUGUUAAUGAUGGCGGCGGGUUUGGUUCAGGUUCUUACUCUGACUUCUUCACCCAGUUGGAUGGAUCUUCUACAGGAAAUUUACAGGGAAAGGCGGAGGUAGUAUCCAAUGAUACACAGAUUGCAAGUUUUGGUUUUGAGCAACAUCAGGGUCAAGUGAGUCAAGAUUGGGAAAAUAGCUAUCCUGGAUGGAAAUAUGAUGCUAGCACUGGCCAGUGGUAUCAAGUUGAUAGCCAUGAUGAUGCAAGCAUGAAUGCACAGGAGAGCUAUAUAGACUCAGCGAGUAACUGGCAAAGCAGCGUUGCCUCUACUGAUAACUCCAAUGUUGCUUACCUGAGUCAGAGUACAACAUCUGCAGUGGCUGAGAGUAUGUCUACUUGGAACCAGGUUUCACAGGUGGCAAAUGGAUAUCCAGAACACAUGGUCUUUGACCCACAGUAUCCGGGGUGGUA
RNAcentral lists this long non-coding RNA (10113 nucleotides) under Brassica napus (rape). RNAcentral's name for it is "long non-coding RNA (BNAP_LNC022931)". Lineage: Eukaryota; Viridiplantae; Streptophyta; Magnoliopsida; Brassicales; Brassicaceae. The record is from RNAcentral.